RNAcentral lists this ribosomal RNA (253 nucleotides) under uncultured bacterium. RNAcentral's name for it is "partial 16S ribosomal RNA". It matches the Rfam family "Bacterial small subunit ribosomal RNA", at positions 524 to 776 of the family's 1533-position model. The record is from RNAcentral.
UACAGAGGUCUCAAGCGUUGUUCGGAUUCAUUGGGCGUAAAGGGUGUGUAGGUGGCGCGCUAAGUCGGGUGUGAAAUUUCGGAGCUCAACUCCGAAACUGCAUUUGAUACUGGCGUGCUUGAGGACUGGAGAGGAGACUGGAAUUUACGGUGUAGCAGUGAAAUGCGUAGAGAUCGUAAGGAAGACCAGUGGCGAAGGCGGGUCUCUGGACAGUUCCUGACACUGAGGCACGAAGGCCAGGGGAGCAAACGGG